RNAcentral lists this ribosomal RNA (500 nucleotides) under uncultured bacterium. RNAcentral's name for it is "bacterial SSU rRNA". It matches the Rfam family "Bacterial small subunit ribosomal RNA", at positions 1030 to 1529 of the family's 1533-position model. The record is from RNAcentral.
CAAGACAGGUGGUGCAUGGUUGUCGUCAGCUCGUGUCGUGAGAUGUUGGGUUAAGUCCCGCAACGAGCGCAACCCUUAUCUUCAGUAGCCAGCAGGUAAAGCCGGGCACUCUGGAGAGACUGCCGGGGAUAACCCGGAGGAAGGUGGGGAUGACGUCAAAUCAUCAUGCCCCUUAUGAUUUGGGCUACACACGUGCUACAAUGGCGUAAACAGAGGGAAGCGAGCCCGCGAGGGGGAGCAAAUCCCAAAAAUAACGUCCCAGUUCGGAUUGUAGUCUGCAACCCGACUACAUGAAGCUGGAAUCGCUAGUAAUCGCGGAUCAGAAUGCCGCGGUGAAUACGUUCCCGGGUCUUGUACACACCGCCCGUCACACCAUGGGAGUCGGAAAUGCCCGAAGUCUGUGACCUAACCGCAAGGGAGGAGCAGCCGAAGGCAGGUCGGAUGACUGGGGUGAAGUCGUAACAAGGUAGCCGUAUCGGAAGGUGCGGUUGGAUCACCUC